This is a long non-coding RNA of Pocillopora verrucosa, 1014 nucleotides long. RefSeq lists it as uncharacterized. Lineage: Eukaryota; Metazoa; Cnidaria; Anthozoa; Scleractinia; Pocilloporidae. The record is from RefSeq and is a predicted model, not a curated record.
AUUCAAUAUGGCGGCGAUCUUGGCUCGAUCUGCAAAGAAGCGUGUUUCGUACCAUGACUUACACAAUUUGAGCACCGCAGAUCUUCUAUUUGAUGAAAAGAAGAUCUACAAGGAAAUCUUUGGGAUUUUUCGAGGACCUGAGAACUAAUUUAUUUACCAGCAAGAACAUAAACAAAUAUGGCCGACGAUUCGAAGAUCAGCUUUGCUCGUGUUAAACCAUUUCAGUCAUAGUUUUCAACAUGGCGUCUCGUCACUUACUCAACAUGGAAAAUAAGGGAUAUUCUGCCGCGUUGGGAAGUUUUUGAUGGGAGAACAUGGCAAUUUUUCAGGAUAUUUGGACGCUUCGAACUCAGUAGCAGUCAAUUCGAUCGAGAGCAGUUGACUUCAUUGAUGCACUUUCCUGUUAUAGGCGAGUGUUUGGGAUGGAGAACGACGGAUUUAGAAGAACUGUAUGGCGACUUAGGUCAAUGGACAAUGACAAAAGAACUGGCUCGGGAAGUGGAGUUGAAGAGUUUGUUAAACAGGAUGGGAUUAAGCAGUUCAAUCUCUUUCAAGUGUGACUGAGACAUGACAACAACACCACUCCAAGGACCAUUCAAACCAGAGAUGGGAACAGUACUGUGGCAAUGGGAGUUUGAAAAGCAGUUAUUGGCAAAUUGUAAGAUCUGCUCAAUAUGCCAUUUUAACUUGGUGUAAUCUUGAGGAAGUACUUUCUCAAGCAGAUGCAUUAGGCUUAAAACCAGCUGCAUUGGAUUUAUUUUGUACUUUUGAUUUAAGGAGAUAGAAGAUAGCUAUGAAAUGACCUCUUUUUUAUUGAUGGAAAUUUUAAGAUAUUACAGAGAGUAAUCACCAGAAACCUUAAUGGGGUAAGUUUGGAUAACAUAGGCGAAAAACGUGAUGAAAUUCAUCUCUGCAGCCCAUGGAGGAACGUUUCUCUUUAUCCCUAAUACAAAAAUAAGGUGAAAUUUAUGUUUUGAGUCUAUAUUACUUGAGUGAAUAUUAAUAGUCUGAAAU